This 1214-nucleotide long non-coding RNA is filed under the name Oreochromis niloticus (Nile tilapia). Its description in RNAcentral is "lncRNA (ENSONIG00000031515.1)". Lineage: Eukaryota; Metazoa; Chordata; Actinopteri; Cichliformes; Cichlidae. The record is from RNAcentral.
GAUGAAACUAAAGAAAAGGUGUCUCAUGGAUAUCUCACCAUGUGACCAGGGAGAAGAUUAUGAUGCAGAUUCAAGUGGUGGAUCAAACAUGCUUUUGCCACCCAGGAGCAGUUCUGGUGACAACAGUUCCCUGUUCAGGGCACUACCAACUCUCUUCCUAUCACAAGCUGCACCACCCAAGAAGAUGGGACAUGUCAGUGAAGCACUGAUUCAUGUCCUUCAGAAGAUCCAGCGUCAGCCCUGUUCAGCUCUUUGAAGGGUCCCGCUGUCUUAUUGCAGUUGGAACCACUCCCAUCACCACAUUUGCCACAGAUGACCUUGGAGAAGGUUUGCUGUAUCUUAUGGCAUACUACUACACCCUGCAUCUUACCUAUCCUAAAUGUGUGGCAACGCUUCUGUCUGUCAUUCAGACUGAAGCGUUAAAAGACAAAAUCCAUGAGCAAGACACCACAGGCUCAUACAAAAAAGUCAUGGCAGGCUGUAGGAAUUUUUAUUGAAACAUAGAGCUGUUCUUCAACAUUUUGCUUAGAACAAGUGGUUAAAGCUUAUUUUAGGUUUCAAUUGCCGUGAUUGGUUGCCUGGAAUAAGUGUGUAAGGAUUAUUUUAAGAUUUAACUAUCUUAUUUGUUCCCUAGAAUAAGUGGUUAAAUUUUAUUUUAAAUUUCAAUUGUUCUGAUUUGUUGCCUGGAAUAAGUGUAAAAGACUUAAGAAGAUUUAAAUAAAGCUAAAAUUAUUUCAAGAAAUCUUAGUAAGAAAAAAAAAAAAAACACUUACCCCACUGGCAGAUAAUUUCACUUGUUUUAAGCAAAUCAUCACCAAAAAUAAGUGUAUUUAUCUAGUAUUAAGGAGGUGGGUUUUUGCAGUUUAUUAUUAAUAAUAAUAAUAAUAAUAAUAAUAAUAAUAAUAAUAGAUUGCAUUUAUAUAGCGCUUUUCGAGACCCUCAAAGCACUUUAGAAUUCCACUAUUCAUAUACACACACACACACACACACACACACACACACACACACACAGUUGUAGCCACAUCUGCCCUGGGGCAGACUGACAGAUGCGAGGCUGCCAUAUCGCGCCAUCACCAGUAGGUGCCCAAGGACACAACGACUGAGACUGUCGGAGCUGGGGCUCGAACCCGCAACUUUCCGGUUACAAGACGAACUGCCAACUCUUUGAGCCACGAUCGCCCCAUACAUCAUACGGAGCAUGUCACACUCUCCAC